This 587-nucleotide ribosomal RNA is filed under the name uncultured bacterium. RNAcentral describes it as "partial 16S ribosomal RNA". It matches the Rfam family "Bacterial small subunit ribosomal RNA", at positions 355 to 1375 of the family's 1533-position model. The record is from RNAcentral.
UGGGGAAUCUUCCGCAAUGGACGAAAGUCUGACGGAGCAACGCCGCGUGCAUGAUGAAGGUUUUCGGAUUGUAAAGUACUGUCAUUGGGGAAGAACGGUUUUCUGAAAGAUUGAGAAGACAUGACGGUACCCAAGGAGGAAGCCCCGGCUAACUACGUGCCAGCAGCCGCGGUAAUACGUAGGGGGCAAGCGUUGUCCGGAAUUAUUGGCGUAAAGGGCGCGUAGGCGGGCCUUUAAGUCCGGUGUGAAAGAUCAGGGCUCAACCCUGAGAGUGCAUCGGAAACUGGAGGCCUUGAGGACAGGGAGAGGAAAGUGGAAUUCCACGUGUAGCGGUGAAAUGCGUAGAUAUGUGGAGGAACACCAGUGGCGAAAGGCGACUUUCUGGACUGUAACUGACGCUGAGGCGCGAAAGCGUGGGGAGCAAACAGGAUUAGAUACCCUGGUAGUCCACGCCGUAAACGAUGAGUGCUAGGUGUAGAGGGUAUCGACCCCCUUCUGUGCCGCAGUUAACACAAUAAGCACUCCGCCUGGGGAGUACGCCGCAAGGUUGAAACUCAAAUGAAUUGACGGGGUCAUAGCUGUUUCCU